UUCGCCCUUAGAGUUUGAUCCUGGCUCAGGACGAAUGCUGGCGGCGUGCCUAACACAUGCAAGUCGAACGGAGUUUAUUGAGGAGUAAUCUGAGAUAAACUUAGUGGCGAACGGGUGAGUAACGCGUGAACAAUCUGCCUUCCAGAGGGGGAUAACGUUGGGAAACCGACGCUAAUACCGCAUAAGACCACAAUGCCGCAUGGCGAAGAGGUCAAAGGAGCAAUCCGCUGGGAGAUGAGUUCGCGUCCCAUUAGGUAGUUGGUGAGGUAACGGCCCACCAAGCCGACGAUGGGUAGCCGAGCUGAGAGGCUGAUCGGCCACACUGGAACUGAGACACGGUCCAGACUCCUACGGGAGGCAGCAGUGGGGAAUAUUGGGCAAUGGGGGAAACCCUGACCCAGCAACGCCGCGUGAGGGAAGAAGGUUUUCGGAUUGUAAACCUCUGUCGCAGGGGACGAAGAAUGACGGUACCCUGUAAGAAAGCCCCGGCUAACUACGUGCCAGCAGCCGCGGUAAUACGUAGGGGGCGAGCGUUGUCCGGAAUUACUGGGCGUAAAGGGUGCGUAGGCGGUAAAUUAAGUUGGAUGUGAAACCCCUGGGCUUAACUUGGGGACUGCAUUCAAAACUGGUUUACUAGAGUGCAGGAGAGGGAAGCGGAAUUCCUAGUGUAGCGGUGAAAUGCGUAGAUAUUAGGAGGAACACCAGUGGCGAAGGCGGCUUGCUGGACGACAACUGACGCUGAGGCGCGAAAGCGUGGGGAGCAAACAGGAUUAGAUACCCUGGUAGUCCACGCUGUAAACGAUGAAUACUAGGUGUGGGAGGACUGACCCCUUCCGUGCCGCAGUUAACACAAUAAGUAUUCCACCUGGGGAGUACGACCGCAAGGUUGAAACUCAAAGGAAUUGACGGGGGCCCGCACAAGCAGUGGAUUACGUGGUUUAAUUCGACGCAACGCGAAGAACCUUACCAGGAUUUGACAUCCAACUAACGAAGUAGAGAUACAUUAGGUGCCCUUCGGGGAAAGUUGAGACAGGUGGUGCAUGGUUGUCGUCAGCUCGUGUCGUGAGAUGUUGGGUUAAGUCCCGCAACGAGCGCAACCCCUAUUGUUAGUUGCUACGCAAGAGCACUCUAGCGAGACUGCCGUUGACAAAACGGAGGAAGGCGGGGACGACGUCAAAUCAUCAUGCCCCUUAUGUCCUGGGCUACACACGUAAUACAAUGGUGGUUAACAGAGGGAAGCAAGACAGUGAUGUGGAGCAAAUCCCUAAAAGCCAUCUCAGUUCGGAUUGCAGGCUGCAACUCGCCUGCAUGAAGCUGGAAUUGCUAGUAAUCGCGGAUCAGCAUGCCGCGGUGAAUACGUUCCCGGGCCUUGUACACACCGCCCGUCA
RNAcentral lists this ribosomal RNA (1388 nucleotides) under uncultured bacterium. RNAcentral describes it as "16S ribosomal RNA". It matches the Rfam family "Bacterial small subunit ribosomal RNA". The record is from RNAcentral.